GGGGAAUUUUCCGCAAUGGGCGAAAGCCUGACGGAGCAAUACCGCGUGAGGGAUGAAAGCCUGUGGGUUGUAAACCUCUUUUCUCAAGGAAGAAGUUCUGACGGUACUUGAGGAAUAAGCAUCGGCUAACUCUGUGCCAGCAGCCGCGGUAAUACAGAGGAUGCAAGCGUUAUCCGGAAUCACUGGGCAUAAAGCGUCUGUAGGUGGUUUGAUAAGUCUGCUGUUAAAGACUAGGGCUUAACCCUAGGAAAGCAGUGGAAACUGUUAGACUUGAGUAUGGUAGAGGUAGAGGGAAUUCCUAGUGUAGCGGUGAAAUGCGUAGAUAUUAGGAAGAACACCAAUGGCGAAAGCACUCUGCUGGGCCACAACUGACACUGAGAGACGACAGCUAGGGGAGCAAAUGGGAUUAGAUACCCCAGUAGUC
This 424-nucleotide ribosomal RNA is filed under the name uncultured cyanobacterium. RNAcentral describes it as "bacterial SSU rRNA". It matches the Rfam family "Bacterial small subunit ribosomal RNA", at positions 356 to 795 of the family's 1533-position model. The record is from RNAcentral. Lineage: Bacteria; Bacillati; Cyanobacteriota.